AGUGAACGCUGGCGGUAGGCCUAACACAUGCAAGUCGAACGGCAGUACAGUAAGGGCUUGCUCUUACGGGUGGCGAGUGGCGGACGGGUGAGGAAUACAUCGGAAUCUACUUUUUCGUGGGGGAUAACGUAGGGAAACUUACGCUAAUACCGCAUACGACCUACGGGUGAAAGCAGGGGAUCUUCGGACCUUGCGCGAUUGAAUGAGCCGAUGUCGGAUUAGCUAGUUGGCGGGGUAAAGGCCCACCAAGGCGACGAUCCGUAGCUGGUCUGAGAGGAUGAUCAGCCACACUGGAACUGAGACACGGUCCAGACUCCUAAGGGAGGCAGCAGUGGGGAAUAUUGGACAAUGGGCGCAAGCCUGAUCCAGCCAUACCGCGUGGGUGAAGAAGGCCUUCGGGUUGUAAAGCCCUUUUGUUGGGAAAGAAAAGCAGCAGGUUAAUACCCCGCUGUUCUGACGGUACCCAAAGAAUAAGCACCGGCUAACUUCGUG
Molecule: ribosomal RNA, 492 nt
Filed under: uncultured bacterium
Lineage: Bacteria
Description: partial 16S ribosomal RNA
Rfam family: Bacterial small subunit ribosomal RNA
Source: RNAcentral